This 253-nucleotide ribosomal RNA is filed under the name uncultured bacterium. Its description in RNAcentral is "partial 16S ribosomal RNA". It matches the Rfam family "Bacterial small subunit ribosomal RNA", at positions 524 to 776 of the family's 1533-position model. The record is from RNAcentral.
UACGUAGGGGGCUAGCGUUGUCCGGAAUCAUUGGGCGUAAAGAGCGUGUAGGCGGUCCGGUAAGUCCGCUGUGAAAGUCGGGGGCUCAACCCUCGAAUGCCGGUGGAUACUGUCGGGCUAGAGUGCGGAAGAGGCGAGUGGAAUUCCUGGUGUAGCGGUGAAAUGCGCAGAUAUCAGGAAGAACACCCGUGGCGAAAGCGGCUCUCUGGAACGGUACUGACGCUGAGGAGCGAAAGCGUGGGGAGCGAACAGG